CAGUAGCCGCGGGAAUACAGAGGGUGCGAGCGUUAAUCGGAUUUACUGGGCGUAAAGCGUGCGUAGGCGGCUUCUUAAGUCGGAUGUGAAAUCCCUGAGCUUAACUUAGGAAUUGCAUUCGAUACUGGGAAGCUAGAGUAUGGGAGAGGAUGGUAGAAUUCCAGGUGUAGCGGUGAAAUGCAUAGAGAUCUGGAGGAAUACCGAUGGCGAAGGCAGCCAUCUGGCCUAAUACUGACGCUGAGGUACGAAAGCAUGGGGAGCAAACAGGAUUAGAUACCCCCGUAGUCCCUGUCUCUUAUAC
Molecule: ribosomal RNA, 301 nt
Filed under: uncultured bacterium
Lineage: Bacteria
Description: partial 16S ribosomal RNA
Rfam family: Bacterial small subunit ribosomal RNA
Source: RNAcentral